GCCUAGCCAUAAACUUUAAUUUACAACCUAACCGCCAGAGAACUACGAGCUUAGCUUAAAACUCAAAGGACUUGACGGUUCUCCAUAUCCCCCUAGAGGAGCCUGUCCUACAAUCGAUAAUCCCCGUUUAACCUCACCCCUUUUAGCUUUUCAGCCUGUAUACUUCCGUCGCAAGCCCACCACGUGAAUGAAACUCAGUCGGCUUAACUGCCCAUUCAGCACAAACGUCAGGUCAAGGUGCAGCAUAUAGGGGGGCAAGAGAUGGGCUACAUUCUCUAAUAUAGAGUAUACGGAAAGCUAAUAUGAAACCUAGCUUAAAGGUGGAUUUAGAAGUAAAGCGGGAGCAGAGCGCCCCCUUUAACCCGGCACUGGAGUGCGUACACACCGCCCGUCACCCUCCUCAAAGCCAUUAACAAGUACUUAACACCCCAUAGCUGCAAGAGGAGGCAAGUCAUAACA
Molecule: ribosomal RNA, 459 nt
Filed under: Craugastor sp. UOGV 370
Lineage: Eukaryota; Metazoa; Chordata; Amphibia; Anura; Craugastoridae
Description: partial 12S ribosomal RNA
Rfam family: Bacterial small subunit ribosomal RNA
Source: RNAcentral